This is a long non-coding RNA of Ylistrum balloti, 1341 nucleotides long. RefSeq lists it as uncharacterized. Lineage: Eukaryota; Metazoa; Mollusca; Bivalvia; Pectinida; Pectinidae. The record is from RefSeq and is a predicted model, not a curated record. The transcript has 2 exons.
ACUGAUUUUUAUACAUUAAUCAAAUGAAACAACAGUACCCGCGGUAUACAAGCGAUAAAGUUAUCUCUGGGCUAUCAGUGAAUUAUGAACAGAAAUUAUGCUAUCGUACACACUGGGCGAAAGUCUCAAAGUAUGAUUCACAGCAGAGCAUACAAACUACCUCUCUCCUUUCCCCAGUAAUAUAUUCUCAGUCAGCCUCCGGUUGCAGACACGAGAGAGUGUUUUUCACGCGAGUUUGUGUGUGCAUGUUCUUCUACAUUAACAAGCGCGUGUUUUAAGAAAGUGAAGCUCGUCUACGUGAGUUCCAGCCGCUGAAUCAGACUGUGUGUUUACAGGGAUAUUACGAUAUAAACCCUUUGAAAAAAUCCAGCAAUGACAGAAUCAACAUGGCAACCCUGGGCAGAUAACGUCACCCUCCAACCAAAAGGAAACGCCGUGUUUCACGCGGCCAUAUUUGGCUUUGACGGAGCGCUAUGGGGUAGGAGUUCGAAAGAUAACCGGGGACCGACCCCUCAGGAAGGUGUUGCCCUCGCUUACAUACUGUCGAGUGAAGAAAAACGAGAUUUAGCUCUACAAAAUGGAAUUUAUUACUGUAACUGCAAAUUCAAUGUCAUCUUCGCUGAAAAUGGCGAGGUUAAGGCAGUGAAGGGGGCACGGGAUAAUUGCCCUUCGGAACUCCUUGUCGUCAAACGUUGUAAGAUGUGUUUCAUUUUAGCUAUAGGGAACGGAGAAAGAAGAGGUGAUGUAGUGGAUUCACUAUUUAAAACAGCUAAUAGCCUUACAGAUGCUGGAUAUUAACAACGUUGCCAUAGUAAUAUGAUGUCAUUUAAAUUUAUGUAGGGAAUUUAUCACCAUUUCCAACGAAGAAUUGCCGUCUGCGAGAGAGUUCGAAGGCCUAGUUAAGUGUAAGCUAACGUGGUGUUCAGAGUAAUUGACGUGUGUUUGGGAAAUUGACAUCUUCGAAGUGUUUAAAAAAAAUAAACAUGUUACUCAGCUGAAGGACAACCGUCCCAGGGUCGUAAUCGCAUGUUGUGGAGUUAGGGCGACAUUCAUCGGAAUGGUGCAUAUACACAUUAAUGGAGCAUACUUUUAUGUUCGUCUGAAUAUGAUGUUUGUGUAUAAGUGAACGCUUAUAGUCUAUUUUCAUAUCGUCAUUGUGCGUGAUACUACACUGCCAAGUCCUUACCAUCCUGAUCAUUGAUAUAUGGUGCUUUAAAUGUGUUUGGUAUAUUGUACUUGAUAAUGCAUUUUGUCAAAUUAAAAAGAUGUAUAAUUCAGAAAAUAGAUUUUCAAAAUAUUCAGUGCUAUGGAUAUUAAAGGUUCGUUUUCUGCUUAAGAUAA